Molecule: ribosomal RNA, 1405 nt
Filed under: metagenome
Description: bacterial LSU rRNA
Rfam family: Bacterial large subunit ribosomal RNA
Source: RNAcentral
AAAAUCCGCGUUCUAUUCAGCCUGAGAUGUGAUGCCGAGCCGAUUGUGGUGAAGUGGAUGAUCCUAUGCUGCCGAGAAAAGCCUCUAGUGAGUGUUGUGGCGGCCCGUACCCUAAACCGACUCAGGUGGUCAGGUAGAGAAUACCAAGGCGAUCGGGUGAACUGUGGUUAAGGAACUCGGCAAAUUGCCCCCGUAACUUCGGGAGAAGGGGGACCUCUGCUGGUGAUGGGCUUUACGUUCUGAGCUGGUGGGGGUCGCAGUGGCCAGGGGGAAGCGACUGUUUACUAAAAACACAGGUCCGUGCGAAGUCGUAAGACGAUGUAUACGGACUGACGCCUGCCCGGUGCCGGAACGUUAAGGGGACCGCUUAGCCAACGCGAGUUGGCGAAGGUGAGAACUUAAGCGCCGGUAAACGGCGGUGGUAACUAUAACCAUCCUAAGGUAGCGAAAUUCCUUGUCGGGUAAGUUCCGACCUGCACGAAUGGCGUAACGACUUCCCCGCUGUCUCAACCACAGACCCGGCGAAAUUGCACUACGAGUAAAGAUGCUCGUUUCGCGCAGCAGGACGGAAAGACCCCGGGACCUUCACUACAGCUUGACAUUGGCGUUUGGAACGUCUUGUGUAGGAUAGGUGGGAGACUGGGAAGCUGUCACGCUAGUGAUGGUGGAGUCAUUGGUGAAAUACCACUCUGGUCGUUUUGAACGUCUAACUCUGGUCCGUGAUCCGGAUCGGGGACGGUGUCUGGUGGGUAGUUUAACUGGGGCGGUUGCCUCCUAAAGAGUAACGGAGGCGCCCAAAGGUUCCCUCAGCCUGGUUGGCAAUCAGGUGUUGAGUGUAAGUGCACAAGGGAGCUUGACUGUGAGACUGACAGGUCGAGCAGGAGCGAAAGCUGGGACUAGUGAUCCGGCAUCGGCGUGUGGAAGCGGUGUCGCUCAACGGCUAAAAGGUACCCCGGGGAUAACAGGCUGAUCUUCCCCAAGAGUCCAUAUCGACGGGAUGGUUUGGCACCUCGAUGUCGGCUCGUCGCAUCCUGGGGCUGGAGUAGUCCCAAGGGUUGGGCUGUUCGCCCAUUAAAGCGGUACGCGAGCUGGGUUUAGAACGUCGCGAGACAGUUCGGUCCCUAUCCGCUGCGCGCGCAGGAGACUUGAAGGGGGCUGUCCCUUACGAGAGGACCGGGACGGACGAACCUCUGGUGUGCCAGUUGUACCGCCAGGUGCACGGCUGGUUGGCUACGUUCGGAAGGGAUAACCGCUGAAAGCAUCUAAGCGGGAAGCUCGCCUUGAGAUGAGGUCUCCCACCCCGUGAGGGGGUAAGGCUCCCGGUAGAUCACCGGGUUGAUAGGCCGGAGGUGGAAGCACGGUAACGUGUGGAGCUGACCGGUACUAAUAGGCCGAGGACUUGACC